Molecule: small RNA, 691 nt
Filed under: Pan troglodytes (chimpanzee)
Lineage: Eukaryota; Metazoa; Chordata; Mammalia; Primates; Hominidae
Description: processed transcript
Source: RNAcentral
UCCUCCUCCCUUGGCCUCCUCAAAGCACUAGGAUUAUAGGUGUGAGCCACUUUGCCAGGCUGACUAAAAAUUUUAAAACUUACAGAAGUUUAAACUGUUGAAAAACUUAUAUAACAUUCUGACAUUAUUUUAAAACCAAUUUUAUGUUUUUAUAGCUUCUGCAGAAAGCCGUCAUUACACCUGAUUUUGAAAAAAACCACUGUGUUCCACCAUAUAGUGAAUCAAAGUAUCAACUUCAGAAAAAACGCAGAAAAGAACGACAAAAAACAGCAGGGGAUGGCUGGUUUGGUAUGAAAGCUCCAGAAAUGACAAAUGAACUGAAAAAUGAUCUCAAAGCACUGAAGAUGAGAGCCAGCAUGGACCCGAAAAGAUUUUACAAGAAAAAUGAUAGAGAUGGCUUCCCCAAGUACUUCCAGAUUGGAACCAUUGUUGACAAUCCAGCUGAUUUCUACCAUUCACGAAUUCCCAAGAAGCAAAGGAAAAGAACUAUUGUGGAAGAACUGCUGGCUGAUUCUGAAUUCAGAAGAUACAACCGAAGGAAGUACUCAGAGAUCAUGGCUGAAAAAGCAGCAAAUGCAGCAGGAAAAAAGUUCCGAAAGAAGAAGAAAUUUCGCAAUUAAGAUUUACCAAGCAAACUGCAACAUUUUACAUCGCUCCUUUAUUUACUUAUUAAAGACAUUUGGAAAACUAA